RNAcentral lists this ribosomal RNA (254 nucleotides) under uncultured bacterium. Its description in RNAcentral is "partial 16S ribosomal RNA". It matches the Rfam family "Bacterial small subunit ribosomal RNA", at positions 524 to 776 of the family's 1533-position model. The record is from RNAcentral.
UACGUAGGGUGCAAGCGUUUGUCCGGAAUUAUUGGGCGUAAAGAGCUCGUAGGCGGUUUGUCGCGUCGGGAGUGAAAUCCACUGGCUUAACUGGUGGCUUGCUUUCGAUACGGGCAGACUGGAGGUAUGCAGGGGAGAACGGAAUUCCUGGUGUAGCGGUGAAAUGCGCAGAUAUCGGGAGGAACACCGGUGGCGAAGGCGGUUCUCUGGGCCUGUUCUGACGCUGAGGAGCGAAAGCGUGGGGAGCGAACAGG